This 1372-nucleotide ribosomal RNA is filed under the name uncultured bacterium. Its description in RNAcentral is "bacterial SSU rRNA". It matches the Rfam family "Bacterial small subunit ribosomal RNA", at positions 28 to 1381 of the family's 1533-position model. The record is from RNAcentral.
GAUGAACGCUGGCGGCGUGCCUAAUACAUGCAAGUCGAGCGAACGGACGAGAAGCUUGCUUCUCCGAUGUUAGCGGCGGACGGGUGAGUAACACGUGGAUAACCUACCUAUAAGACUGGGAUAACUUCGGGAAACCGGAGCUAAUACCGGAUAAUAUUUUGAACCGCAUGGUUCAAAAGUGAAAGACGGUCUUGCUGUCACUUAUAGAUGGAUCCGCGCUGCAUUAGCUAGUUGGUAAGGUAACGGCUUACCAAGGCAACGAUGCAUAGCCGACCUGAGAGGGUGAUCGGCCACACUGGAACUGAGACACGGUCCAGACUCCUACGGGAGGCAGCAGUAGGGAAUCUUCCGCAAUGGGCGAAAGCCUGACGGAGCAACGCCGCGUGAGUGAUGAAGGUCUUCGGAUCGUAAAACUCUGUUAUUAGGGAAGAACAUAUGUGUAAGUAACUGUGCACAUCUUGACGGUACCUAAUCAGAAAGCCACGGCUAACUACGUGCCAGCAGCCGCGGUAAUACGUAGGUGGCAAGCGUUAUCCGGAAUUAUUGGGCGUAAAGCGCGCGUAGGCGGUUUUUUAAGUCUGAUGUGAAAGCCCACGGCUCAACCGUGGAGGGUCAUUGGAAACUGGAAAACUUGAGUGCAGAAGAGGAAAGUGGAAUUCCAUGUGUAGCGGUGAAAUGCGCAGAGAUAUGGAGGAACACCAGUGGCGAAGGCGACUUUCUGGUCUGUAACUGACGCUGAUGUGCGAAAGCGUGGGGAUCAAACAGGAUUAGAUACCCUGGUAGUCCACGCCGUAAACGAUGAGUGCUAAGUGUUAGGGGGUUUCCGCCCCUUAGUGCUGCAGCUAACGCAUUAAGCACUCCGCCUGGGGAGUACGACCGCAAGGUUGAAACUCAAAGGAAUUGACGGGGACCCGCACAAGCGGUGGAGCAUGUGGUUUAAUUCGAAGCAACGCGAAGAACCUUACCAAAUCUUGACAUCCUUUGACAACUCUAGAGAUAGAGCCUUCCCCUUCGGGGGACAAAGUGACAGGUGGUGCAUGGUUGUCGUCAGCUCGUGUCGUGAGAUGUUGGGUUAAGUCCCGCAACGAGCGCAACCCUUAAGCUUAGUUGCCAUCAUUAAGUUGGGCACUCUAAGUUGACUGCCGGUGACAAACCGGAGGAAGGUGGGGAUGACGUCAAAUCAUCAUGCCCCUUAUGAUUUGGGCUACACACGUGCUACAAUGGACAAUACAAAGGGCAGCGAAACCGCGAGGUCAAGCAAAUCCCAUAAAGUUGUUCUCAGUUCGGAUUGUAGUCUGCAACUCGACUACAUGAAGCUGGAAUCGCUAGUAGUCGUAGAUCAGCAUGCUACGGUGAAUACGUUCCCGGGUCU